AACGAACGCUGGCGGCAUGCCUAACACAUGCAAGUCGAACGAGACCUUCGGGACUAGUUGCGCACGGGUGCGUAACGCGUGGGAACCUGCACUUAGGUUCGGAAUAACUCCCCGUAAGGGGUGCUAAUACCGGAUAAUGUCCUCGGACCAAAGAUUUAUCGCCUUUGGAUGGGCACGCGUUGGAUUAGCUAGUUGGUAGUGUAAGAGCCUACCAAGGAGACGAUCCAUAGCUGGUAUGAGAGGAUGAUCAGCCACACUGGGACUGAGACACGGCGCAGACUUCUGCUGGAGGCAGCAGUGUUUAAUAUUGCACAAUGGGCGAAAGCCUGAUCCAGCAAUGCCGCGUGAGUGAUGAAGGCCUUAGGGUUGUAAAGCUCGUUUACCCGCGAUGAUAAUGACAGUACCGGAAGAAUAAGCUCCGGCUAACUCCGUG
RNAcentral lists this ribosomal RNA (433 nucleotides) under uncultured bacterium. Its description in RNAcentral is "partial 16S ribosomal RNA". It matches the Rfam family "Bacterial small subunit ribosomal RNA", at positions 29 to 507 of the family's 1533-position model. The record is from RNAcentral.